RNAcentral lists this ribosomal RNA (253 nucleotides) under uncultured bacterium. RNAcentral describes it as "partial 16S ribosomal RNA". It matches the Rfam family "Archaeal small subunit ribosomal RNA", at positions 474 to 727 of the family's 1478-position model. The record is from RNAcentral.
UACCAGCACCCCGAGUGGUCGGGACGUUUAUUGGGCCUAAAGCAUCCGUAGCCGGUUCUACAAGUCUUCCGUUAAAUCCAACUGCUUAACAGGUGGGCUGCGGAAGAUACUAUAGAGCUAGGAGGCGGGCGAGGCAAGCGGUACUCGAUGGGUAGGGGUAAAAUCCGUUGAUCCAUUGAAGACCACCAGUGGCGAAGGCGGCUUGCCAGAACGCGCUCGACGGUGAGGGAUGAAAGCUGGGGGAGCAAACCGG